Asterias rubens (European starfish) is the source of this 1371-nucleotide long non-coding RNA. RefSeq lists it as uncharacterized. The transcript has 4 exons. NCBI's taxonomy places the organism in Eukaryota, Metazoa, Echinodermata, Asteroidea, Forcipulatida, Asteriidae. The record is from RefSeq and is a predicted model, not a curated record.
UUUCCCUUUUUUUCACAGCAGUUUGGUAAUUUUGAGCUUUUUUGUAGGUUGGAUGAUGUAAGUAGGUGGUGCUCUAUGCAACCUGAUGUUAAUGAGUUUGGCUUCUUGUGACACCUGCCUUCCAUGAAGGAUGUACUAUUUAGCUGCAGAAGUAACUUGGUGACAUGUGGAGCGUUCAGGACCAGUAACUGAGAUGAUGCCAUUCACCCAAGCAGUUGGUGCUUUUGAUCAGUCUACCAUGUGUGGGAUGUAGGUUUACUGCUGUGAUCCUUGAAGGAGUUUGAUACAAGAUGCAUAAAGGCACUGGGAUGAUUUCAUUUUUCUAAGGAGGUGGUGCUCUGAGACCCUGAUGUUGAUGACUCUUCAUUCUUGUGAUACAUGAUUUAUCCGUACUUUGAUCUAUAAAGAGACUCCUAGUUUCAAGAUCAUCUACCACAAGAUGAACAGAGUGCCGUCUCGAUCUUCUCAGUUGCUUUCCACUGCUUCAGGACAAACCUGGACCCAAUUUCAUAGCACUGCUUAAUGGCAACAACUUUUCAUGCUUAUUGUGGCAUUAGGCAGCCAUCUUGCGCAUUCACCUUUUCUUUGUAUUGUUUACGUCAUUCAUUUUCACACCAAAAGGUUUGCGUAACUUUUUGCACCAAAAGGUAAGCACCAAAAGGUUUGCGUAACUUUUUGUGUGCUUACAGUUUAAUAGCAGCGCUAUGAAAUGGAAACUUGCACAGUAAGCACAAAGUUGGCCGUUAGACAGCUCUAUGAAAUUGGGCCCUGGUGAUAUUGAAUCUAGUACUUGCCUCCUUUAGGUUUUUUCUGCCAUUCAAAAUGCAGUUGCAAAAGUAACAAACACAAAUAUUUCAACAAAUUUUCAAAAUUGUCCGAUCAAAAAAGUGCAUUUCUGGUGUUUUGUUUCCCUAUGGUAACUGCAUAAGAAAGGCAGAAAAGACCCUUGGGGAAAAAGUUUAUAGAGACACGUUACCCUCGAUUGAGCGUUUUGGUUUACAAAUCAUUGAUUUACACAAAUUCGCCAUGCAAUUGUGUGGUUCUACUUUGUGAACUAUAACAUGGUCCACCAAUUUGUAGUACAAAUGUUUUGACUCCACAAAAUGGCGGACCGUGUUUAGUUCAUGAAGCAAACAGGAAACCACACAGGCAUACUUCUUAGAACAUCUUUCCAACCAUUUUUAUCUCAUAACAAAUGUUUUAAGCACUUUUUACAGGCAAAAGCGCCUGAUCCAAGGCAACGUGUCCCUUUAAUAUGCAGUUAAAGGCAGUGGACAUGUUUGGUAAUUACUCACAAUAUUAAUUAGCAUAAUAAACUUACUCGAAACGAGCAUGGGAGAGCCGGUGAUACAACAUUGUGAAAAACGACUC